RNAcentral lists this ribosomal RNA (292 nucleotides) under uncultured bacterium. RNAcentral describes it as "partial 16S ribosomal RNA". It matches the Rfam family "Bacterial small subunit ribosomal RNA", at positions 505 to 796 of the family's 1533-position model. The record is from RNAcentral.
GUGUCAGCAGCCGCGGUAAGACAGAGGGGGCAAGCGUUGCUCGGAAUCACUGGGCGUAAAGGGCGCGUAGGCGGGAUGGCAAGUCAGUCGUGAAAUCUCUCGGCUCAACCGAGAAACGUCGGCUGAUACUGCCGUUCUUGAGGGAUGCAGAGGAGACUGGAAUUCCCGGUGUAGCGGUGAAAUGUGUAGAGAUCGGGAGGAACACCGGUGGCGAAGGCGGGUCUCUGGGCAUUUCCUGACGCUGAGGCGCGAAAGCGUGGGGAGCAAACGGGAUUAGAAACCCCCGUAGUCC